This 439-nucleotide ribosomal RNA is filed under the name uncultured bacterium. RNAcentral describes it as "partial 16S ribosomal RNA". It matches the Rfam family "Bacterial small subunit ribosomal RNA", at positions 338 to 795 of the family's 1533-position model. The record is from RNAcentral.
CCUACGGGAGGCAGCAGUGGGGAAUAUUGCACAAUGGGGGGAACCCUGAUGCAGCGACGCCGCGUGGGUGAAGAAGCGCCUCGGCGCGUAAAGCCCUUUCAGCAGGGAAGAAAAUGACGGUACCUGAAGAAGAAGCCCCGGCUAACUCCGUGCCAGCAGCCGCGGUAAUAGGGAGGAUGCGAGCGUUAUCCGGAUUUAUUGGGUUUAAAGCGUGUGUAGUCGGACAGUCAAGUCAGCGGUAAAAAUGCGGUGCUCAACGCCGUACCGCCGUUGAAACUGGCAGUCUUGAGUGGGCGAGAAGUAGGCGGAAUGCGUGGUGUAGCGGUGAAAUGCAUAGAUAUCACGCAGAACUCCGAUUGCGAAGGCAGCAUACCGGCGCACGACUGACGCUGAGGCACGAAAGCGUGGGUAUCGAACAGGAUUAGAUACCCGAGUAGUC